Non-coding RNA from Triticum aestivum (bread wheat), 136 nucleotides. The record is from Rfam. Lineage: Eukaryota; Viridiplantae; Streptophyta; Magnoliopsida; Poales; Poaceae.
UGUGUACUCCCUCCGUUCCAAAAUACUUGACUUCCAUUUAUCCAAAAAUGGAUGUGCCUAUAUACUAAAACAUGUCUAGAUACAUAUAUAUUUUGACAAAUAGAAGGCAUGUAUUGUGCAACGGAGGGAGUAGAAU